This is a long non-coding RNA of Zingiber officinale, 473 nucleotides long. RefSeq lists it as uncharacterized. Lineage: Eukaryota; Viridiplantae; Streptophyta; Magnoliopsida; Zingiberales; Zingiberaceae. The transcript has 2 exons. The record is from RefSeq and is a predicted model, not a curated record.
AUAAAUUUUCUAUUUUCUCCUCUCCACUCUUACCUACUAGAAUCGUCGAUUUCCCCUUCUGCCUCCGCCGAACGGGAUCGCCAUCAGCCUCGGAGACGAUCAAGCGCCAUCGUGUGGGAGAUUCCUCUGAGGGCAUCACGGUCGAUCGGGCAGAGGUCCUCGUCGGCCGACAGCACUGGCGAGGCCUUCUCGCGUCCGGCAAUAGCAACGAAGGUGUAAGAAGAGAAAAGGAAAGUACCUCCUCAUAUGAAAUAGGAGAUCUGGGAGAUACAGGAAAGGAAAAGUUAUAGCAAAGGAAGGCGACAAGGAGGUGUUUGAUGAUGUGUGAUGCCUUGACUAUGAAGAGAUCUGGGGAUUUGCCAAGAAUUUAUUAAGACUGUUUUCGUCAAAUUGUUAAAAGAAUUUAGAACUUGUACAUGCUAUUCUAUGGAUCAUUUUAUCGUGCUUUGCGAGAGUUGAUUAUUUUGGUUAUA